This 1521-nucleotide ribosomal RNA is filed under the name Triticum aestivum (bread wheat). RNAcentral describes it as "partial small subunit ribosomal RNA". The record is from RNAcentral. Lineage: Eukaryota; Viridiplantae; Streptophyta; Magnoliopsida; Poales; Poaceae.
UGCAAGCCAAUACAGGCAGGGGUCAACUUAUGGCAAGUUACAAGUGGGCAGCAAACACAUGCUGUCAACCUGGAACUUGAGACUUGUGGAUGCAGGAAGUGGGACCUUAGUGGCAUACCUUGCAACCAUGCCAUCUCUGCAAUAAACAAGGCUAAAAGGAAACCAGAGGAUUAUGUCAGCAAAUUCUUCAAGAAAGAUUUUUAUGUUGCAGCUUAUGAACCAAUGAUCUUUCCUGUGCCUGGUGAGCAUGAUUGGACAAGGACCCCUGGUCCAGACAUAGAACCACCUGCAUUCAAAAUCAAGAGAGGAAGAAAGAAAGAAAAGAGGAUCAAGGGCAAAUUUGAAGUACCAAAGCCAAAAGACACUUCAAGAAUGGGGACCAUAACAUGUGGCAAUUGUGGUCUCCAAGGGCAUAGGCUACUCCAAGUAACUCACAACCAAGAGCUGCUAGUCCUUCUACUACAACAACAGCAAGACAGCCAAGAGCUGCUGCCAGAGGAGCUGGCAGAGGAAGAGGAGCUGCUACUUCUACUACACCACCACCAUCUGGAAGAGGAGCUGGCAGAGGAAGAGGAGCUGCUACUUCUACUACACCACCACCAUCUGGAAGAGGAGCUGGCAGAGGAAGAGGAGCUGGAAGAGGUGCUCCAAGGCCAUUCAGUGCCCCUAGGCAAUAUGCUGACAUUCCUGCUGAUGGUACACACACUGGAUGGAUGUCCUACUUCACUGCUAGCAGAGGAAGAGGAGCCAUGUGGUUAUCUGAAUGUUGAAUAUGUUGCUACUGGAUAUGGGUUAUUGAAUGCAGUGAAUGCUGUGUUUCCAAAUUGCAACCAAAGAUUCUGCCUUAGGCAUUUAUAUGCAAAUUUCCAAAAUGCUGGGUUUAGGGGUGAAGAUCUUAAGAAGUGCAUGGAUAAUGCUAGCUAUGCCUACAAUGAACACAAAUUUAAUAUUGCAAUGAAUGAUCUUAGAGCUGAAAGUGAGGAAGCUUGGGAGUGGCUUACUGCAAUACCAAAAAAAACAUGGGCAAGGCAUGCAUUUGACACAAACUGCAAGACUGACUUGGUAGUGAACAACUUGUCUGAGGUGUUCAACAAGUACAUUCUAGAUGUUAGGAGAAAACCUAUAAGGACAAUGUGUGAUGGGAUAAUAGAUAAGCAGAUGGUGAGGUGGCAUAGGAACAGAGAGAGUGUAAAGGCAGCAAGAUGGGAUAUAACACCUCAUUACAGUGAGAAGCUAGAGGUUGAGAAGGAGAGGGCCAGAUAUUGCAAGCCAAUACAGGCAGGGGUCAACUUAUGGCAAGUUACAAGUGGGCAGCAAACACAUGCUGUCAACCUGGAACUUGAGACUUGUGGAUGCAGGAAGUGGGACCUUAGUGGCAUACCUUGCAACCAUGCCAUCUCUGCAAUAAACAAGGCUAAAAGGAAACCAGAGGAUUAUGACCCCUGGUCCAGACAUAGAACCACCUGCAUUCAAAAUCAAGAGAGGAAGAAAGAAAGAAAAGAGGAUCAAGGGCAAAUUUGA